Molecule: ribosomal RNA, 242 nt
Filed under: uncultured Planctomycetales bacterium
Lineage: Bacteria; Pseudomonadati; Planctomycetota; Planctomycetia; Planctomycetales
Description: partial 16S ribosomal RNA
Rfam family: Bacterial small subunit ribosomal RNA
Source: RNAcentral
GGAGUUAAGAAAUGUAAAGGUGUUAAUAGCGCCUUUAUUUGACGAAGGCUCCAGAGGAAGCCACGGCUAACUCUGUGCCAGCAGCCGCGGUAAUACAGAGGUGGCAAGCGUUGUUCGGAAUUAUUGGGCGUAAAGAGCACGUAGGCGGUCCUGCAAGUCUGUUGUGAAAUCCUUCCGCUCAACGGGAGAACGGCAGCUGAUACUACAGGACUAGAGUACGGGAGGGGAGAGUGGAACUUCUG